UUUGGCACAGUAAAUAAAGUUAGACUUUCAAGAAGUAAAAAGACUGCAAGAUCAAAAGGUUAUGCUUUUGUGGAGUUUGCCUCUGAUGAAGUUGCCAAAAUUGUGGCUGAAACUAUGCACAAUUACAUGAUGUUCGGAAGAUUAUUAAAAUGCAAAGUUAUCCCAAAUGACAGAGUCCAUCCCA
Molecule: long non-coding RNA, 184 nt
Organism: Orbicella faveolata
Lineage: Eukaryota; Metazoa; Cnidaria; Anthozoa; Scleractinia; Merulinidae
Source: RefSeq, a predicted model, not a curated record